UUAAUUAGAAUGGUUGUUUUCUUGUCUUUCCACCCAAAUAAACCCGCUCUUUCUCUGUGUUUCACAUGUUUGUUGCAUGAAACCCUUCUUUUCAGCCUCUUUACACUUUCCUUUGGCUUUAUAUGAAUGCUCUGGACACACAGGAGAAAAAUAAUUAAAAUGUGUUAAAUAUUAAAUCUAUUUAUGUUGCAUUUUCCUCAUAGACAGAAAAUAAAUCAAACCAAAAACAAAUGUUCUAACUCUAGAAAGUCAGCCUGUAUAAUAUAUUAAAAGCUAGCUUUGUUUUAUUUAAUUGUGUUUUUAUUUAUUUUUUGUUAAUUAUCUUUUUUAAGAGCAAAAAUAAAAAGUCCUCCUUGCUGGGUCCAAAAAUGACAACAGAGAGAAAAUGAGAUGUCAGAAAGUGAUCAUUUCUACGACGUCCCUGUGACCAUCACUGUGUUCUUCUGAUCAGACACAGUCAUCAAGACUGUCUCCUUCUUCAUCCUGGCACGUCACGUGGAGUCUUUAUUCGUGCUGAGCCUUCUUUAGAAGGUCUGAUUCCACCAUGACCAGCUGAGAGUCAUCAGUCACCUCUAACAGUGCCUGCAUCUCUGGGCCAUCCACAUUCACCAGCUCAUCUUCCUCGACCUCCACAUCCAACCCAGCAUCCUCUUCCCCAGGCUGCGCCUCUGCCUCCGUCACCUCCACCAUCUCUGUGUUCUGCAGCACCUCCUCUUCUCCUUCACGGAUCUUCUUAACAUGGAAGGUGAAGGGAGGGACUCGAUACACAGUUGUCUUGGAGCGAGCGUAGACGGUGUGAUCUGGUGUGAGGGACUUUUUCAUCUUUUCUUUGGAGCUUUUAAUCUUGGCUCUGCGCUCCAUGUUCGGGGUCAUGCGGGUUCCGAGUUUGCCCAUUUUCUUCUCCAAGCUGUGCUUUGUUUUCUCCAGGUUGUCACGGGUUCGCUGCCUUGUCUUUUCCAGGUUCUCCCGGGUCCUCUGCUUGGUCUUUUCCAAGUUUUCCUUGGUCUUUAUUUUGGUCUUCUCCAUUUUCUCUUUGGAGAACGCUUUCUUGAUGUUGUCCACUUGCUGCUUGGUGGCAUGUUGGAAGCGCUUUGUACGAGACUCCACUAUUAUUUCAUCAACAACAACUUCUUCAUCUGAGUUGGGAUUUUCUCUGACAUCCUCUUGUCCUUCUUCAGCUAUCUGCUCCAGACCGUCUGUUGCUUUACCUUCAGCUGUCUCUGCUAUCUUGGAUUUGGAUUGCUUUGUUGCCAGUGAUGAAAGGGAGUCUGAUGUACUUGUUAUGUUGCAGAAGUUUGCACUUCCUAGGGCUUUUUGA
RNAcentral lists this long non-coding RNA (1318 nucleotides) under Nothobranchius furzeri (turquoise killifish). Its description in RNAcentral is "lncRNA (ENSNFUG00015002508.1)". The record is from RNAcentral. Lineage: Eukaryota; Metazoa; Chordata; Actinopteri; Cyprinodontiformes; Nothobranchiidae.